GGCUGUGGCUCAGUGGUAGAGCGUUUGCUUGGUCCCUGGUUCAAUCCCGGCAUCGCCA
This 58-nucleotide transfer RNA is filed under the name Sphaerodactylus townsendi. RNAcentral's name for it is "tRNA-Leu". Lineage: Eukaryota; Metazoa; Chordata; Lepidosauria; Squamata; Sphaerodactylidae. The record is from RNAcentral.